GACGAACGCUGGCGGCGUGCUUAACACAUGCAAGUCGAGCGGUAAGGCCCUUUCGGGGGUACACGAGCGGCGAACGGGUGAGUAACACGUGGGUGACCUGCCCUCAGCUCUGGGAUAAGCCUGGGAAACUGGGUCUAAUACUGGAUAUGACUCCACGGUGCAUGUCGUGGGGUGGAAAGCCUUGUGCGGCUGAGGAUGGGCCCGCGGCCUAUCAGCUUGUUGGUGGGGGGAUGGCCUACCAAGGCGACGACGGGUAGCCGGCCUGAGAGGGCGACCGGCCACACUGGGACUGAGACACGGCCCAGACUCCUACGGGA
This 317-nucleotide ribosomal RNA is filed under the name uncultured bacterium. RNAcentral's name for it is "bacterial SSU rRNA". It matches the Rfam family "Bacterial small subunit ribosomal RNA", at positions 28 to 346 of the family's 1533-position model. The record is from RNAcentral.